ACAGUCUGGGCAGGGCAGAGUGAGAAGGGUGAGGAGGCUCCCGGCUUUGCUGCCACUUGGCCGUCCUGCCUGAUACCCUGCAUUUGCUUCUAGUAAACGGAGCUGUGAGGCCGAGGUGCUGCAGCUGACACGUGCUUCCAUGUUUCCCAUAGUGGACCAGGAGCACCAUUUCCAAGACAAAUAUUUAUUCUAUCGAUUUCUGGAUGAUGAGAACGAGGAUGCCCCUUUGCCUACUGAGGAGGAGAAGAAGGAGUGUGAUGAGGAGCUCCAGGACACCAUGCUGCUGCUGUCACAGAUGGGCCCCGAUGCCCACAUGAGGAUGAUCCUCCGCAAACCACCUGGCCAGAGGACUGUGGAUGACCUAGAGAUUAUCUAUGAGGAGCUUCUUCAUAUUAAAGCCUUAUCCCAUCUUUCUACCACAGUGAAACGAGAGUUAGCGGGUGUUCUCAUUUUUGAGUCUCAUGCCAAAGGAGGGACUGUGUUGUUUAACCAGGGGGAAGAAGGUACCUCCUGGUACAUUAUUCUAAAAGGAUCAGUGAAUGUAGUCAUUUAUGGAAAGG
This 560-nucleotide small RNA is filed under the name Pongo abelii (Sumatran orangutan). RNAcentral describes it as "processed transcript". The record is from RNAcentral. Lineage: Eukaryota; Metazoa; Chordata; Mammalia; Primates; Hominidae.